AAGAACUCGGAGGGUUUGGGGGCUUGGGCGCCCCACGUUCCACAACGAGGUCUUUCAUCAAACAGAGCAGGCGUACGUAACUCCAUAUCCUACUUGAAAUUGCACGCCACUGCCACUUCGUCCAAAAUCGCAGCCCCGGUCUGCGCCGGCACGCAUUCGGGAACGAACUGCACGGUGGCUUCGCCGUCUGUCGAAGACAAGGUGCGCCUCCCAACUGCGACUGCUUGCUUGAACCUGGAUCGGGAUCCUCGAGGUACCUGAGUUUGCGAUGCCUCGAUGGGCUUUCUCUCCGGGCUGUGCGCGUGCUUGGAGAGGCGAGUGAAAGGCCGUAGAGGAUUUGGGCUGGUUUACAAGCGCCUGCUCUUUCAGAGAUAGAGAAAGAGAGAAGGAGAGAGAGAGAGAGAGAGAGAGAGCAGAGAGAGACUGCACAGCGACGAGUUGGAGUUCUCGCCUUCUCGGUGCGAGGUAAACUGAUUUUGCAGAAUAUAUGAUGGAAGCUGAAUCUCAUGAUGAUUUUCCUCCCGGGCCAUGUGUUAAAGCCACCCUUCGCCUAGGGUUAGAAGUGCAUACUAUCAAUGCAGAUGGGGCUACCCUUUCUGAGCAGCUGGUUUCAAUGAAAGAGGAGAGCAUGAACAUACUUAAGGAGUUCAUCACCAGACAUAAUGUUCCGAAUGACGUCCCUGAUGAAUUAGUUGAGAGCAAUUCGGAUGAAGAUGAUGGAGAAAUGACUGAGAAGCUUCAAGUGAAAUCAAAGAAAAGAAAAUAACUUUGUUUCCUCUCUCCUUACGCACGCAAAUUUGAAACACGAGUAGUAGCCCUGAUGUUUGGAAUUAUGAACUAAAUAUCAAGGCAUUAACUAUUUGCUCAUUUUGCGCAGAAUGUUAGGCAACAAAUUCUUUGUAUUUGACUCUUUCAUGUUCUUGUGGCAGUCAUUUAGGCUGUUUGGCAUGUUCCAGGAAUUUGCUGCUGGAAAUUCUUCCCAUUAAAUAUCUGCUUCUUUGUUUAA
Malania oleifera is the source of this 1006-nucleotide long non-coding RNA. RefSeq lists it as uncharacterized. The record is from RefSeq and is a predicted model, not a curated record. Lineage: Eukaryota; Viridiplantae; Streptophyta; Magnoliopsida; Santalales; Ximeniaceae. The transcript has 3 exons.